Molecule: ribosomal RNA, 1488 nt
Filed under: uncultured Bordetella sp.
Lineage: Bacteria; Pseudomonadati; Pseudomonadota; Betaproteobacteria; Burkholderiales; Alcaligenaceae
Description: partial 16S-23S ribosomal RNA intergenic spacer
Rfam family: Bacterial small subunit ribosomal RNA
Source: RNAcentral
GGUUCGAUUAUGGCUCAGAUUGAACGCUGGCGGGAUGCUUCACACAUGCAAGUCGAACGGCAGCACGGACUUCGGUCUGGUGGCGAGUGGCGAACGGGUGAGUAAUGUAUCGGAACGUGCCUGAUAGCGGGGAUGCUACGCGAAAGCGUAGCUAAUACCGCAUACGCCCUUCGGGGAAAGCGGGGACAGCCAGGCCUCGCACUAAUAGAGCGGCCGAUAUCGGAUGCUGGUUGGUGGAGUAACGGCUCACCAAGACACGGCGACGAUCCAUGUAGCUGGUUUGAGGACGACCAGCCACACUGGGACUGAGACACGGCCCAGACUCCUGCAGGAGGCAGCAGUGGGGGAAUUUUGGACAAUGGGGGAAACCUGAUCCAGCCAUCCGCGUGUGCGAUGAAGGCCUUCGGGUUGUAAAAGCACUUUUGGCAGGAAAGAAACAGCGCGGGAUAAUACCCCGUGCACAAGCAAAACCAGUACCUGCAGAAUAAGCACCGGCUAACUACGUGCCAGCAGCCGCGAUAAUACGUAGGGUGCAAGCGUUAAUCAGAAUUACUGGGCGUAAAGCGUGCGCGAGCGGUUCGGAAGAAAGAUGUGAAAUCCCAGAGCUUAACUUUGGAACUGCAUUUUUAACUACCGAGCUAGAGUGUGUCAGCGAGAGGAGGUGGAAUUCCGCGUGUAGCAGUGAAAUGCGUAGAUAUGCGGAGGAACACCGAUGGUGAAAGCGCUCUGGGAUAACACUGACGCUCAUGCACGAAAGCGUGGGAGCAAACGAUUAGAUACCCUGGUAGUCCGCGCCUAAACGAUGUCAACUAGCUGUUGGGGCCUUCGGGCAGCGGUAGCGCAGCUAACGCGUGAAGUUGACCGCCUGGGAGUACGGUCGCAAGAUUAAAACUCAAGGGAAUUGACGGGGACCCGCACAAGCGGUGGAUGAUGUGGAUUAAUUCGAUGCAACGCGAAAAACCUUACCUACCCUUGACAUGUCUGGAAUCCCGAAGAAGAUUUGAGGUGCUCGCAAGAGAACCGGAACACAGGUGCUGCAUGGCUGUCGUCAGCUCGUGUCGUGAAGAUGUUGGGUUAGUCCCGCAACGAGCGCAACCCGCUAUGUUAGUUGCUACGAAAGGGCACUCCUAAUAGGACUGCCGGUGACAAGCCGGAGGAAGGUGGGGAUGACGUCAAGUCCUCAUGGCCCUUAUGGGUGAGGCUUCACACGUCCUGCUACAAUGGUCGGGAUGAAGAGGUCAUACGCCCGCGAGGAGCCAUCCCAGAAACCCGAUCGUAGUCCGGAUCGCAGUCUGCAACUCGACUGCGUGAAGUCGGAAUCCGCUAGUAAUCGCGGAUCAGCAUGUCGCGGUGAAUACGAUUCCCGAGGUCUUGUACACACCGCCCGUCACAUGGGAGUGGGUUUGCAAGUAGUUAUACAGCCUAACCGUAAGGAGAGGCGAUUACCACGGUAGGAUUCAUGACUGGGGUGAAGUCUUAACAAGGUAA